AUUUCCAAACUUCCAAACAGCAGGCUGUCUCAGAGCCUAGCAAAUCGGACUUCGAGGAUGGGCUGUGGAUGCCAGCGCCUCAGAAACUGAGACAACCUCCCACUUCGUCCGUGGCCUACCCGGGAUCCCAGGCCUGCAGAAGGGAUAGUCAAAGUGUGAUGACUUUCCAUAAUCAAGCUGAGACCAUGAAGAGCUCCUGUGCUCCAAAAAUUGCCAUGUGAUCUGACCAACACAGAUCAUCUUCCUAAAUAUCCAUGGAAAAACACUGAAAUGUAUAGAAAUGUGUGAUGGAGCUAUCAGAGUCCACACUCCCACAGCAAGCACCACUCCAGGGAAGGCAGAAGUGCCACUGGUGCUGCCGGCAUAUCAUAAAGCUGCUACCGGGCCCAGGGAACGUGGCAAAGAAUCCUCCCUGCUCCCCACCCAUGCAGACAGUACUGGACCGAGAGAGGGAAGGGAGGCACCGCAGCAGGAAGGCAGAUGUGCAGGCGCAGUCAAGCAGGGGAACCGCAACCUGGAGAUGCAUGGAUCUGACUGGGCACCUGUUGAAGAUAACGACAAAACAAUUGCUUUGUUUCAGUGGCAGGAGAACAAGCCUCUUUUGGACUAAGUCCUCAGGGAGAGUAUGUCUACACUAUAGAGAAGAUUGAAGCUGCUGCUUUUAAUCUUUCAGGGUUCGAAAUAUUUGGUCUAGUGAAGACACAUUAGUGAAGUGAGAGGAGCACUCCUGUCGAUGCCGGUAGUCCUGCUUUCACGAGGAGCAAGGGAUGUCAAAGGGAGAACAUUCUCCCCUUGACUUCCUGCAGU
Non-coding RNA from Pelodiscus sinensis (Chinese soft-shelled turtle), 807 nucleotides. Lineage: Eukaryota; Metazoa; Chordata; Testudines; Trionychidae. The record is from RefSeq and is a predicted model, not a curated record.